This 28-nucleotide non-coding RNA is filed under the name Bombyx mori (domestic silkworm). The record is from RNAcentral. Lineage: Eukaryota; Metazoa; Arthropoda; Insecta; Lepidoptera; Bombycidae.
UGUUAUGGAAUCAACGGAUUUGUAUGUC